Molecule: long non-coding RNA, 964 nt
Organism: Carya illinoinensis
Lineage: Eukaryota; Viridiplantae; Streptophyta; Magnoliopsida; Fagales; Juglandaceae
Exons: 2
Source: RefSeq, a predicted model, not a curated record
CCCCGUUGAGAAAUAUAAAGUCUGCAAUAUUCAAAACGAAGGACGCAAAGGGGUUAGAAUUCUCGUAUCUUCUUCAAUCGUAUUUUUUUUUACAAUGUUCCUCUGUAAUUGCAAAACACUUUGGCUAUAGGGAGAAAGAAACACAACAAAUCUACCCCAGAGAGAGAGAGAGAGAGAGAGAGAGAGGUAUUUAGGUUGGACGGGCUGGCGACGCUCACUGCAGACGCUGAAGGAUGAGAGACGCGCAAUAGUUUUCUCUAAGUGUUCGUCUAUGUUGUCGAGCUAUAGAGGCGUUGUUUGCUAGAACUCUCAAUGAAAACAACAAGAGAUGGCCACAGGAGUUGUUAUCCCCCCGCAACUGCAAGAGGUUCUUCAGAGUCACGAUAUCCAAUGGCGAGAUAACGCUGUCAUGAGCUGGACCUGAGACAUUUGGAUUUUGAUUUCCGUAGGAGCGAUCUGAUUGAAUCUAAAGCGGAGUUUUCUUUUGGAACCAAUCUGGAUUAUCGAUUCGUAAGUUUUUUUUUUUUAAUUAAUUUUGAUAGAAAUAUAUAGAUUUAGUUUCUUUUUAUUCUUUUUUAGUCAAACAUAGCUCUAAAUUUGCUCAUUUCAUUUUCUGUGUGAGGGAUUGCCAAAAGAAGUUUUGCUCUGGUUGCCGUUGUCCCGACUCUGUAGCAGAGAGAGAGAGAGAGAGAGAGAGAGAGAGAGCGUGCUUAUUCUUCUGCUUCUUCACACGCCAACAGGUCGAUCUAAUUCUUCCUUCUUCUCAACUCUCUUAUUUCAUCGCAAUGAUUUCCGUAAAAAUCUUUGUAAUUUGAUUACUCUUCUGCCAGAUUCAAAGAUCCAAGAAACGCAUAGGUGUUUACUGCCUCCCUCCCUCCCUUUGUGAUAAUGUUUUUUCUAUUUUUUUUUUGGGUUAAUUCAAUAGGAUUGUACUGUACCAGUAAUGUAGUGGCAUUUUAUCAUA